Molecule: ribosomal RNA, 664 nt
Filed under: uncultured Clostridium sp.
Lineage: Bacteria; Bacillati; Bacillota; Clostridia; Eubacteriales; Clostridiaceae
Description: bacterial SSU rRNA
Rfam family: Bacterial small subunit ribosomal RNA
Source: RNAcentral
CAUAAGAGAAUCGCAUGAUUUUCUUAUCAAAGAUUUAUUGCUUUGAGAUGGACCCGCGGCGCAUUAGCUAGUUGGUAAGGUAACGGCUUACCAAGGCAACGAUGCGUAGCCGACCUGAGAGGGUGAUCGGCCACAUUGGAACUGAGACACGGUCCAGACUCCUACGGGAGGCAGCAGUGGGGAAUAUUGCGCAAUGGGGGAAACCCUGACGCAGCAACGCCGCGUGGGUGAUGAAGGUCUUCGGAUUGUAAAGCCCUGUUUUCUGGGACGAUAAUGACGGUACCAGAGGAGGAAGCCACGGCUAACUACGUGCCAGCAGCCGCGGUAAUACGUAGGUGGCGAGCGUUGUCCGGAUUUACUGGGCGUAAAGGGUGCGUAGGCGGAUGUUUAAGUGGGAUGUGAAAUCCCCGGGCUUAACCUGGGGGCUGCAUUCCAAACUGGAUAUCUAGAGUGCAGGAGAGGAAAGCGGAAUUCCUAGUGUAGCGGUGAAAUGCGUAGAGAUUAGGAAGAACACCAGUGGCGAAGGCGGCUUUCUGGACUGUAACUGACGCUGAGGCACGAAAGCGUGGGUAGCAAACAGGAUUAGAUACCCUGGUAGUCCACGCCGUAAACGAUGGAUACUAGGUGUAGGGGGUAUCAACUCCCCCUGUGCCGCAGUUAACAC